AUGAGCUUGGAGCCGCAGGGCUUAAUCCCGCGCGGCUCAGAGAUGGGUUUCUGGACUCGCGAAGCAGCUGCAACAAGGCAUCACUCAUUGUACAAGUAUUUCCAUUUCUGAGAGCAAAAGGAAGAACUUAAGCGGGCGGCACUUGGAGUGUAAAUUGCUUUGUAGUAUUUAAAGGCAGAAUGGAUCCUGGGCAGCCGAGCUGAAACACUCUUGAAGAUAUACUCAGAAGUAAUGUUUUACCAGCUAUCUGGGCAUCCUUUAGCUCAGUCAAGUUGAUGCAUAAAAUUAACCAUCACAAGUUGCUUCCCCCUUCUUUACUAUAAAAAGUCAACUUUUGAGCCUUUUCUUAAAUGCCAUAUCUCCUGGGAGGCUUUUUCUAACUCACAGGCAGAGAUAGAUAUUCUGAAGCCUUAAAUUUGUACCUUGGUCACACAACAAACCAGCAGGACUUCCUGUGAAAUCAUGACCCCCAUGUGCUCUUUCAGCCCUCAUCAAUUCGUACCUCUAAGCACCUGAGAGCCAAAGUAAACCACAGGAAACCACAGGUACUAACUCUUUUAGACCUGAUGAAGUGUCUCCCAAAGACAGUCUGGCAUGACUCAAACUAAACAUCAUCCUUUCCUGGCUCUCAAUCCUGCUGGUCCCUGAACUAAAACACACAUUAUCAACUCUACUUGUUCUUAGUCCUUUGGAGUCAGACUGGGACUACACCAUUGACUCUUCCGGAACUCCAGCUUACUGACUACAGAUCUUGGAACUUUUCAGCUUUCACAACCAUUUCACAGACAAGAUGCUAAUUUACAAAUGGGAAUGUUUCCUACCUGCUUAUAUUUCUAUUACAGAUGCUUGCUCUUAAUACCUAGCAACUAUGCUUGUACAAGUCCAAGAGACCUGUUGUGUGGAGGCUCACGUGAAGAAGAAUGUAGGUGCCUGGACUACAGCUUGAUUGAGCUGUCAUCUGAUAACCCAUAAGAACUUGAUAGCCUUAGGCAGAGUCCUACUAUUUCACCCAGGCUGGAGUGCAGUGGCACAAUCAUGGCUCACUUCAGGCUCAACUUCCUAGGCCCAAAAGAUUCCCUCACCUCAACCUCCUGAGUAGCUGGGAUUACAGGUAUGAUCGUGAUCUCUUCCCAGGAAAAAGGUAAUGAUCCUGGAACAAGAUAUAUAUGCCGGAAUGAGACUUGGCUGUUCUGAAAAACUACAGCGUGUUCUGUGGAGAACUGUGAGUACUUCUGAUGGAAAAAUGAGAGGCUGAAUGCCAAAAAGCAAAGGAACUGUUUCCUAAGAGUCGUAAGACCCUAAAGAACUUGUCCCUCUUUUGGUGAUCUAGGGGAUAAAGAAGUGGAAUGGAAAUGGAGAGGAAUAGCUGGAACAAAAAAGCAAAGAGGUAUAAUCUAUCAUUAAGAUAGAGCCUUUGUAAGCAUGUGUGUACCAAAAAAAAAAAAAAAAAAGAAC
Molecule: long non-coding RNA, 1455 nt
Organism: Cercocebus atys (sooty mangabey)
Lineage: Eukaryota; Metazoa; Chordata; Mammalia; Primates; Cercopithecidae
Exons: 10
Source: RefSeq, a predicted model, not a curated record